UAAACCUCUGUGUUUCGUACCACAGCUGCCUAUUUAUAAAUCUCAUAUGAUGAGGCCAACAGCUCUCUUCAAGAGCUCUCCGUGGAGGGGGCUGUGUGGAAAGUGGUAAGUUCACUGUCACUGGAGAUUUUCACAAUGAAAAUCUGUGACAAGCAGGGUGAGAGCCUGUUGGGAGUGCUGUGGAUGAGAUUCUGGAAACAAAAGACUUAGCCACAUUUUCUGAGAUCCCAUCUAAGUGAAAGCCCUGACUAUUGACAAAGCCAGGGGACAUUAUUGCUGAUGAAACCAAUCAGGCAGUGAUACUUUUACACCCAGUGAGUUCUAGGGAGUGGCAUUCAUGAAGAGGCUUGCACUACAUCCAGACCCUGAAGCAUCUGCAGGCUACUGCCUUGUCUGCCAAGGCGUUGGAGAAACCAUGGCGUGAACACCACCAGAAGUUAAGCCUGAGCCUUUAAUAAGCAGAUCGGCCCGAGUGGCCAUGCUCCCAGGCUGUCCUUCCACAGCCACACAGCCCAUCAAGGCAUUCUGCUCAACGAAGACUUUUCCUUCCUCUGAAAGAGACUUUCCUGCUAAACAACUUUUUUCCUUACUACAAUCUGAUUGCAGUAAGCAAGGAUGGCAUAACAUAACCAUCCAAAUAAGUUGAAAACUUUUGCCCACACAAAAACCUGCACACUGAUUCAUAUUUGCCAACACUUGGAAGCAACCAAGAUGUCCUUCAACAGAUGAAUAGAUAAACAAAACGUGGCACAUCCAGACAAUGGAAUAUGAUACAGCAGGAAAAAGAAAUGAGCUCCGGACAUUCUGGAAAGAACAUUGCCAGAGAUGGUAUGCCUGGUCUUUGCCGUAUAAUGUCAUCCCUCAGUAUUGGAGAAUUGGUUCCAGUUUUCCCAUGGAUACCAAAAUUUGCAGAC
This 914-nucleotide long non-coding RNA is filed under the name Homo sapiens (human). Its description in RNAcentral is "HSALNT0340313". Lineage: Eukaryota; Metazoa; Chordata; Mammalia; Primates; Hominidae. The record is from RNAcentral.